Molecule: transfer RNA, 74 nt
Filed under: Nitrososphaerota archaeon
Lineage: Archaea; Thermoproteati; Nitrososphaerota
Also listed under: 1 other name
Description: Thaumarchaeota archaeon tRNA-Thr
Rfam family: tRNA
About the family: Transfer RNA (tRNA) molecules are approximately 80 nucleotides in length.
Source: RNAcentral
GCCUCGGUAGCUCAGUAUGGUAGAGCGAGUGCCUCGUAAGCACUAGGUCGCGGGAUCGAAGCCCGCCCGAGGCU